CCUACGGGAGGCAGCAGUGGGGAAUUUUGGACAAUGGGCGAAAGCCUGAUCCAGCCAUUCCGCGUGAGUGAAGAAGGCCUUCGGGUUGUAAAGCUCUUUCGCAAGGGAAGAAACGAUGCAGUCGAAUAAACUGUGUUAAUGACGGUACCUUGAUAAGAAGCACCGGCUAACUACGUGCCAGCAGCCGCGGUAAUACGUAGGGUGCAAGCGUUAAUCGGAAUUACUGGGCGUAAAGCGUGCGCAGGCGGUUUUGUAAGUCAGAUGUGAAAUCCCCGAGCUCAACUUGGGAACUGCGUUUGAAACUACAAGACUAGAAUAUGUCAGAGGGGGGUAGAAUUCCACGUGUCGCAGUGAAAUGCGUAGAGAUGUGGAGGAAUACCAAUGGCGAAGGCAGCCCCCUGGGAUAAUAUUGACGCUCAUGCACGAAAGCGUGGGGAGCAAACAGGAUUAGAUACCCUGGUAGUCCACGCCCUAAACGAUGUCUACUAGUUGUUGGUGGAGUAAAAUCCAUGAGUAACGCAGCUAACGCGUGAAGUAGACCGCCUGGGGAGUACGGUCGCAAGAUUAAAACUCAAAGGAAUUGACGG
Molecule: ribosomal RNA, 587 nt
Filed under: uncultured bacterium
Lineage: Bacteria
Description: bacterial SSU rRNA
Rfam family: Bacterial small subunit ribosomal RNA
Source: RNAcentral